Molecule: ribosomal RNA, 827 nt
Filed under: uncultured Staphylococcus sp.
Lineage: Bacteria; Bacillati; Bacillota; Bacilli; Caryophanales; Staphylococcaceae
Description: bacterial SSU rRNA
Rfam family: Bacterial small subunit ribosomal RNA
Source: RNAcentral
AGCUUGCUUCUCUGAUGUUAGCGGCGGACGGGUGAGUAACACGUGGAUAACCUACCUAUAAGACUGGGAUAACUUCGGGAAACCGGAGCUAAUACCGGAUAAUAUUUUGAACCGCAUGGUUCAAAAGUGAAAGACGGUCUUGCUGUCACUUAUAGAUGGAUCCGCGCUGCAUUAGCUAGUUGGUAGGGUAACGGCUUACCAAGGCAACGAUGCAUAGCCGACCUGAGAGGGUGAUCGGCCACACUGGAACUGAGACACGGUCCAGACUCCUACGGGAGGCAGCAGUAGGGAAUCUUCCGCAAUGGGCGAAAGCCUGACGGAGCAACGCCGCGUGAGUGAUGAAGGUCUUCGGAUCGUAAAACUCUGUUAUUAGGGAAGAACAUAUGUGUAAGUAACUGUGCACAUCUUGACGGUACCUAAUCAGAAAGCCACGGCUAACUACGUGCCAGCAACCGCGGUAAUACGUAGGUGGCAAGCGUUAUCCGGAAUUAUUGGGCGUAAAGCGCGCGUAGGCGGUUUUUUAAGUCUGAUGUGAAGGCCCACGGCUCAACCGUGGAGGGUCAUUGGAAACUGGAAAACUUGAGUGCAGAAGAGGAAAGUGGAAUUCCAUGUGUACGGUGAAAUGCGCAGAGAUAUGGAGGAACACCAGUGGCGAAGGCGACUUUCUGGUCUGUAACUGACGCUGAUGUGCGAAAGCGUGGGGAUCAAACAGGAUUAGAUACCCUGGUAGUCCACGCCGUAAACGAUGAGUGCUAAGUGUUAGGGGGUUUCCGCCCCUUAGUGCUGCAGCUAACGCAUUAAGCACUCCGCCUGGGGAGUACGACCGC